GUGUCAGCAGCCGCGGUAAUACGUAGGGGGCGAGCGUUGUUCGGAUUUACUGGGCGUAAAGGGCGCGUAGGCGGCGCAACAAGUCACUUGUGAAAUCUCCGGGCUUAACUCGGAACGGUCAAGUGAUACUGUUGGGCUAGAGUGCGGAAGGGGCAACUGGAAUUCUCGGUGUAGCGGUGAAAUGCGUAGAUAUCGAGAGGAACACCUGCGGCGAAGGCGGGUUGCUGGGCCGACACUGACGCUGAGGCGCGAAAGCUAGGGGAGCGAACGGGAUUAGAAACCCGGGUAGUCC
This 292-nucleotide ribosomal RNA is filed under the name uncultured bacterium. Its description in RNAcentral is "partial 16S ribosomal RNA". It matches the Rfam family "Bacterial small subunit ribosomal RNA", at positions 505 to 796 of the family's 1533-position model. The record is from RNAcentral.